RNAcentral lists this transfer RNA (76 nucleotides) under Paracoccaceae bacterium. Its description in RNAcentral is "tRNA-Ala". It matches the Rfam family "tRNA". From Rfam's summary of the family: Transfer RNA (tRNA) molecules are approximately 80 nucleotides in length. Lineage: Bacteria; Pseudomonadati; Pseudomonadota; Alphaproteobacteria; Rhodobacterales; Paracoccaceae. RNAcentral also lists the same sequence under 2 other names. The record is from RNAcentral.
GGGGUCAUAGCUCAGAUGGGAGAGCGCUUGAAUGGCAUUCAAGAGGUCGACGGUUCGAUCCCGUCUGGCUCCACCA